UACAGAGGGGGCGAGCGUUAAUCGGAAUUACUGGGCGUAAAGCGCGCGUAGGCGGCUUUGCAAGUCGGGUGUGAAAUCCCCGGGCUUAACCUGGGAACUGCAUUCGAGACUGCAUUGCUAGAGUAUGGGAGAGGGAAGUGGAAUUUCCGGUGUAGCGGUGAAAUGCGUAGAUAUCGGAAGGAACAUCAGUGGCGAAAGCGACUUCCUGGACCAAUACUGACGCUCAUGUGCGAAAGCGUGGGGAGCAAACAGG
This 253-nucleotide ribosomal RNA is filed under the name uncultured bacterium. RNAcentral describes it as "partial 16S ribosomal RNA". It matches the Rfam family "Bacterial small subunit ribosomal RNA", at positions 524 to 776 of the family's 1533-position model. The record is from RNAcentral.